This 464-nucleotide ribosomal RNA is filed under the name uncultured bacterium. Its description in RNAcentral is "partial 16S ribosomal RNA". It matches the Rfam family "Bacterial small subunit ribosomal RNA", at positions 28 to 506 of the family's 1533-position model. The record is from RNAcentral.
GAUGAACGCUGGCGGCGUGCUUAACACAUGCAAGUCGAACGGAAAGGCUCCUGCUUGCAGGGGUACUCGAGUGGCGAACGGGUGAGUAACACGUGGGUGAUCUGCCCUGCACUUCGGGAUAAGCCUGGGAAACUGGGUCUAAUACCGGAUAGGACGAUGGUUUGGAUGCCAUUGUGGAAAGUUUUUCGGUGUGGGAUGAGCUCGCGGCCUAUCAGCUUGUUGGUGGGGUAAUGGCCUACCAAGGCGUCGACGGGUAGCCGGCCUGAGAGGGUGUACGGCCACAUUGGGACUGAGAUACGGCCCAGACUCCUACGGGAGGCAGCAGUGGGGAAUAUUGCACAAUGGGCGCAAGCCUGAGGCAGCGACGCCGCGUGGGGGAUGACGGCCUUCGGGUUGUAAACUCCUUUCGCUAGGGACGAAGCGCAAGGGACGGGACCUGGAGAAGAAGCACUGGCUAACUACGU